Molecule: non-coding RNA, 71 nt
Organism: Phrynosoma platyrhinos (Desert horned lizard)
Lineage: Eukaryota; Metazoa; Chordata; Lepidosauria; Squamata; Phrynosomatidae
Source: the annotation of a GenBank genome assembly
ACCAAUGUAGUGUAGUGGUUUGAGGUCUGGACUAGGACUCGGGAGACCAGGGUUCGAAUCCCUGCUUGGCA